Molecule: ribosomal RNA, 459 nt
Filed under: uncultured bacterium
Lineage: Bacteria
Description: partial 16S ribosomal RNA
Rfam family: Bacterial small subunit ribosomal RNA
Source: RNAcentral
CCUACGGGAGGCUGCAGUGAGGAAUAUUGGUCAAUGGCCGCAGGGCUGAACCAGCGAAGUCGCGUGAGGGAUGAAGGUCCUAUGGUUUGUAAACCUCUUUUGUCAGGGAGCAAAGGGCGCCACGUGUGGCGUUUUUCGAUUACCUUACGAAAUAGCAUCGGCUAACUCAGUGCUAGCAGCCGCGGUACUACGGAGGAUGCGAGCGUUAUCCGGAUUUAUUGGGUUUAAAGGGUGCGCAGGCGGAAUGUCAAGUCAGCGGUAAAAUUUCGGGGCUCAACCCCGUCGUGCCGUGGAAACUGGCGUUCUAGAGUGAGCGAGAAGUAUGCGGAAUGCGUGGUGUAGCGGUGAAAUGCAUAGAUAUCACGCAGAACUCCGAUUGCGAAGGCAGCAUACCGGCGCUCAACUGACGCUCAUGCACGAAAGCGUGGGUAUCGAACAGGAUUAGAUACCCUGGUAGUC